This 110-nucleotide microRNA precursor is filed under the name Bigelowiella natans CCMP2755. RNAcentral's name for it is "miRNA EPrBNAG00000013133". Lineage: Eukaryota; Cercozoa; Chlorarachniophyceae. The record is from RNAcentral.
UGAUGAUGAUGAUGAUGAUGAUGAUAAUGACGAUGGUGGUGGUUGUGUGAUUGUUGCCGACGAUUACCUUAUCAUCAUCACCAUGAUCAUUAUCAUUAUCAUCAAUUUGG